Non-coding RNA from Lysinibacillus sp. F5, 110 nucleotides. Lineage: Bacteria; Bacillati; Bacillota; Bacilli; Caryophanales; Bacillaceae. The record is from Rfam.
AAAUCCUUUAAUACGGUCCAGAGAGGCUGAAAAGGGCUAUGUGAUAUUUUUAAGCUAAUAUCUUUGCUUUGUCAUGCCCUUUUGUCCUCUGUGACGGAAGGGCUUUUAUU